Molecule: ribosomal RNA, 444 nt
Filed under: uncultured Pelobacter sp.
Lineage: Bacteria; Pseudomonadati; Thermodesulfobacteriota; Desulfuromonadia; Desulfuromonadales; Desulfuromonadaceae
Description: bacterial SSU rRNA
Rfam family: Bacterial small subunit ribosomal RNA
Source: RNAcentral
GUGGUUUAAUUCGACGCAACGCGCAGAACUUACCUGGCUUGACAUCCCGAUCGUACUUUCUGGAAACAGUUUAGGCCAGUUCGGCUGGAUCGGUGCAGGUGCUGCAUGGCUGUCGUCAGCUCGUGUCGUGAGAUGUUGGGUUAAGUCCCGCAACGAGCGCAACCCUUUGUCCUUAGUUGCCAGCAUUAAGUUGGGCACUCUAAGGAGACUGCCGGUGUUAAACCGGAGGGAAGGUGGGGAUGACGUCAAGUCCUCAUGGCCCUUAUGUCCAGGGCUACACACGUGCUACAAUGGCCGGUACAAAGGGCUGCAAUACCGCAAGGUGGAGCGAACCCCAAAAAGCCGGUCUCAGUUCGGAUUGGAGUCUGCAACUCGACUCCAUGAAGUUGGAAUCGCUAGUAAUCGCGGAUCAGCAUGCCGCGGUCGAAUACGUUCCCGGGCCUU